This 325-nucleotide ribosomal RNA is filed under the name uncultured eukaryote. RNAcentral's name for it is "partial 18S ribosomal RNA". It matches the Rfam family "Eukaryotic small subunit ribosomal RNA", at positions 1470 to 1796 of the family's 1831-position model. The record is from RNAcentral.
CCCUUAGACGUUCUGGGCCGCACGCGCGCUACACUGACGAAGGCAACGAGCUUUCCUUUACCGAAAGGUACGGGUAAUCUUUUGAAACUUCGUCGUGCUGGGGAUAGAUCCUUGCAAUUUUUGAUCUUAAACGAGGAAUUCCUAGUAAGCGCAAGUCAACAGCUUGCGUUGAUUACGUCCCUGCCCUUUGUACACACCGCCCGUCGCUACUACUGAUUGGAUGUUUAAGCGAGGUUCUCGAACUGCUAGCGACUUAGCUUCGGUGAGGUCGCAGUGUGGGAAGUGAACCUAGCUUUGGUGUCUAGAGGAAGUAAAAGUCGUAACA